Non-coding RNA from Phoenix dactylifera (date palm), 629 nucleotides. NCBI's taxonomy places the organism in Eukaryota, Viridiplantae, Streptophyta, Magnoliopsida, Arecales, Arecaceae. The record is from RefSeq and is a predicted model, not a curated record.
ACCCGUUACGUUGGACCGGAACUUAUAGGUUCCAAGAAGCGGUGAAAGGGCGUGAGGCGCGGCUCUCUUCGGAAGUCGGCAAACCAGGGACCGACGAUGGAGAAGGAGGUGGCGAAGGUGGAGAAGGGCCAGAGGCUUGCGGUCGGCUACGUCGACGGGUCCAUCUCCAUCCACGACUCUCUCGAUUCCUCCUCUUCUUGUUCAUGCAAAUGGAAGGUAUGGCACUUGGGGUCGGAUAUGAGUGGCAUGACACUAAUAUCAACAGGAGCUGAUGGCAUGAUUAUGGCAGUCGAACUAAAAUGGUGUAUGGCGUGAACAGGCAGCCCUUGAAUGCAAUGGGAUGCAGCAAUAAGAAGAGACCAAUCAGGCUGCCGGUUGCCUCGAUGAACUUACCUUGCUUAAUGAUUACAAUUGUAUGGGCAUAUGUAUCACUUGUAUCUAAACCUUAUGCUUAGGGAAGGAUCUCUGUACAUUACCUUAUGCAGCUUAGCAGAGGAAGGCACGGUUUAUUCAAAUUUUGGACACUUCUUUUUUCAAAAAAGAAAAAAAGAAACUAAAAAUCCAUUUCUUGAGUUUACAAAAUGUUGCUAUGUGAGAAAUGAAAUGUCGUGCACCCGUCAGUUCUUGAA